GCAGCUUGCUGGACUGUAACUGACGCUGAGGCACGAAAGCGUGGGGAUCAAACAGGAUUAGAUACCCUGGUANNCCACGCCGUAAACGAUGAAUGCUAGCUGUUAGCGAUAUACUGUUAGCGGCACAGAGAAAUCGUUAAGCAUUCCACCUGGGGAGUACGCCGGCAACGGUGAAACUCAAAGGAAUUGACGGGGGCCCGCACAAGCGGAGGAACAUGUGGUUUAAUUCGAUGAUACGCGAGGAACCUUACCUGGGCUUAAAUUGCAGUGGAAUAACGUGGAAACAUGUUAGCCUUCGGGCCGCUGUGAAGGUGCUGCAUGGUUGUCGUCAGCUCGUGCCGUGAGGUGUCGGCUUAAGUGCCAUAACGAGCGCAACCCUCAUCGAUAGUUACUAACAGGUUAAGCUGAGGACUCUAUCGAGACUGCCGACGUAAGUCGUGAGGAAGGUGGGGAUGACGUCAAAUCAGCACGGCCCCUACGUCCAGGGCUACACACGUGUUACAAUGGGGGGUACAAAGGGCAGCUACCUGGCGACAGGAUGCUAAUCUCAAAAACCUCUCUCAGUUCGGAUUGGAGUCUGCAACCCGACUCCAUGAAGCUGGAUUCGCUAGUAAUCGCGCAUCAGCCACGGCGCGGUGAAUACGUUCCCGGGCCUUGUACACACCGCCCGUCAAGCCAUGGGAGCCGGGGGGACCUGAAGUAUGCAACCGUAAGGAGCGUCCUAGGGUAAAACUGGUGACUGGGGCU
Molecule: ribosomal RNA, 747 nt
Filed under: uncultured prokaryote
Description: bacterial SSU rRNA
Rfam family: Bacterial small subunit ribosomal RNA
Source: RNAcentral